RNAcentral lists this ribosomal RNA (465 nucleotides) under uncultured Klebsiella sp. Its description in RNAcentral is "bacterial SSU rRNA". It matches the Rfam family "Bacterial small subunit ribosomal RNA", at positions 338 to 795 of the family's 1533-position model. The record is from RNAcentral. Lineage: Bacteria; Pseudomonadati; Pseudomonadota; Gammaproteobacteria; Enterobacterales; Enterobacteriaceae.
CCUACGGGAGGCUGCAGUGGGGAAUAUUGCACAAUGGGCGCAAGCCUGAUGCAGCCAUGCCGCGUGUGUGAAGAAGGCCUUCGGGUUGUAAAGCACUUUCAGCGGGGAGGAAGGCGGUGAGGUUAAUAACCUCAUCGAUUGACGUUACCCGCAGAAGAAGCACCGGCUAACUCCGUGCCAGCAGCCGCGGUAAUACGGAGGGUGCAAGCGUUAAUCGGAAUUACUGGGCGUAAAGCGCACGCAGGCGGUCUGUCAAGUCGGAUGUGGAAUCCCCGGGCUCAACCUGGGAACUGCAUUCGAAACUGGCAGGCUAGAGUCUUGUAGAGGGGGGUAGAAUUCCAGGUGUGGCGGUGAAAUGCGUAGAGAUCUGGAGGACUACCGGUGGCGAAGGCGGCCCCCUGGACAAAGACUGACGCUCAGGUGCGAAAGCGUGGGGAGCAAACAGGAUUAGAUACCCGGGUAGUC